AGUGAACGCUGGCGGUAGGCCUAACACAUGCAAGUCGAACGGCAGCACAGUAAGAGCUUGCUCUUACGGGUGGCGAGUGGCGGACGGGUGAGGAAUACAUCGGAAUCUACUUUUUCGUGGGGGAUAACGUAGGGAAACUUACGCUAAUACCGCAUACGACCUACGGGUGAAAGCAGGGGAUCUUCGGACCUUGCGCGAUUGAAUGAGCCGAUGUCGGAUUAGCUAGUUGGCGGGGUAAAGGCCCACCAAGGCGACGAUCCGUAGCUGGUCUGAGAGGAUGGUCAGCCACACUGUAACUGAGGCACGGUCCAGACUCCUACGGGAGGCAGCAGUGGGGAAUAUUGGGCAAGGGGCGCAAGCCUGAUCCAGCCAUACCGCGUGGGUGAAGAAGGCCUUCGGGUUGUAAAGCCCUUUUGUUGGGAAAGAAAAGCAGCAGGUUAAUACCCCGCUGUUCUGACGGUACCCAAAGAAUAAGCACCGGCUAACUUCGUG
RNAcentral lists this ribosomal RNA (492 nucleotides) under uncultured bacterium. Its description in RNAcentral is "partial 16S ribosomal RNA". It matches the Rfam family "Bacterial small subunit ribosomal RNA", at positions 29 to 507 of the family's 1533-position model. The record is from RNAcentral.